AUUGAACGCUGGCGGCAGGCCUAACACAUGCAAGUCGAGCGGCAGCACGGGGGGCUUGCUCCCUGGUGGCGAGCGGCGGACGGGUGAGUAAUGCAUAGGAAUCUGCCCGGUAGUGGGGGAUAACGUGGGGAAACCCACGCUAAUACCGCAUACGUCCUACGGGAGAAAGCGGAGGAUCUUCGGACUUCGCGCUAUCGGAUGAGCCUAUGUCGGAUUAGCUAGUUGGUAAGGUAACGGCUUACCAAGGCAACGAUCCGUAGCUGGUCUGAGAGGAUGAUCAGCCACACUGGGACUGAGACACGGCCCAGACUCCUACGGGAGGCAGCAGUGGGGAAUAUUGGACAAUGGGCGAAAGCCUGAUCCAGCCAUGCCGCGUGUGUGAAGAAGGCUUUCGGGUUGUAAAGCACUUUCAGCGAGGAAGAAAGCCUCUGGGUUAAUACCCCAGAGGAAGGACAUCACUCGCAGAAGAAGCACCGGCUAACUCCGUGCCAGCAGCCGCGGUAAUACGGAGGGUGCGAGCGUUAAUCGGAAUUACUGGGCGUAAAGCGCGCGUAGGUGGCUUGGCACGCCGGUUGUGAAAGCCCCGGGCUCAACCUGGGAACUGCAUCCGGAACGGCCAGGCUAGAGUGCAGGAGAGGAAGGUAGAAUUCCCGGUGUAGCGGUGAGAUGCGUAGAGAUCGGGAGGAAUACCAGUGGCGAAGGCGGCCUUCUGGCCUGACACUGACACUGAGGUGCGAAAGCGUGGGUAGCAAACAGGAUUAGAUACCCUGGUAGUCCACGCCGUAAACGAUGUCGACUAGCCGUUGGGACCUUUAAGGACUUAGUGGCGCAGUUAACGCGAUAAGUCGACCGCCUGGGGAGUACGGCCGCAAGGUUAAAACUCAAAUGAAUUGACGG
Molecule: ribosomal RNA, 897 nt
Filed under: uncultured Gammaproteobacteria bacterium
Lineage: Bacteria; Pseudomonadati; Pseudomonadota; Gammaproteobacteria
Description: bacterial SSU rRNA
Rfam family: Bacterial small subunit ribosomal RNA
Source: RNAcentral